GCAUAUCAAUAAGCGGAGGAAAAGAAACCAACAGGGAUUGCCUUAGUAACGGCGAGUGAAGCGGCAACAGCUCAAAUUUGAAAUCUGGCUCUUUCAGAGUCCGAGUUGUAAUUUGCAGAGGGCGCUUUGGCUUUGGCAGCGGUCCAAGUUCCUUGGAACAGGACGUCACAGAGGGUGAGAAUCCCGUACGUGGUCGCUAGCUAUUGCCGUGUAAAGCCCCUUCGACGAGUCGAGUUGUUUGGGAAUGCAGCUCUAAAUGGGAGGUAAAUUUCUUCUAAAGCUAAAUAUUGGCCAGAGACCGAUAGCGCACAAGUAGAGUGAUCGAAAGAUGAAAAGCACUUUGGAAAGAGAGUCAAACAGCACGUGAAAUUGUUGAAAGGGAAGCGCUUGCAGCCAGACUUGCUUGCAGUUGCUCAUCCGGGCUUUUGCCCGGUGCACUCUUCUGCAGGCAGGCCAGCAUCAGUUUGGGCGGUGGGAUAAAGGUCUCUGACACGUUCCUUCCUUCGGGUUGGCCAUAUAGGGGAGACGUCAUACCACCAGCCUGGACUGAGGUCCGCGCAUCUGCUAGGAUGCUGGCGUAAUGGCUGUAAGCGGCCCGUCUUGAAACACGGACCAAGGAGUCUAACAUCUAUGCGAGUGUUUGGGUGUCAAGCCCGAGCGCGUAAUGAAAGUGAACGGAGGUGGGAACCCGCAAGGGCGCACCAUCGACCGAUCCUGAAGUUUACGGAAGGAUUUGAGUAAGAGCAUGGCUGUUGGGACCCGAAAGAUGGUGAACUAUGCUUGAAUAGGGUGAAGCCAGAGGAAACUCUGGUGGAGGCUCGCAGCGGUUCUGACGUGCAAAUCGAUCGUCAAAUUUGGGCAUAGGGGCGAAAGACUAAUCGAACUAUCUAGUAGCUGGUUCCUGCCGAA
Molecule: ribosomal RNA, 909 nt
Filed under: Curvularia geniculata
Lineage: Eukaryota; Fungi; Ascomycota; Dothideomycetes; Pleosporales; Pleosporaceae
Description: LSU rRNA
Rfam family: Eukaryotic large subunit ribosomal RNA
Source: RNAcentral